GCCUUCGCCCGGCUGAGGGGCCGGGUACUGCGUGCCCGGAAAGGUGGUCCGGGCCUCGAAGAGAGCUUUCGGAGGGAGGGCCGUCGGGCCAGCCGCUGUGUUCGGCUUCUUACUCAAUAAUAAUAAUUAACAAGUCUACACUUCCACGUUCUCUUGCUCGUGUAGUGCCAGGCACUGUUAGAGACUUUGAAUAAUAAUGCAAGUACUUAUUGUAAACAUGAUGUUUAUGGUGACUGAUACGUGCUAGGCACUAUGACAGAUCGUAAAUGAUAAUUAUAAAUAUAAUAAACUACCAAAUUAUUAUUUACUUAUUUUUUUGCCACUCUGGUGAUGCUUUCAAUAACAACAAACAACUGUCAUAAAUAAAAGCUGCUCCACAUUAAAUCUUUGCCAUGCAACCAGCACCGUCCUGGAUCCUUCGCUAAUAGACACCAUUUAUUCAUGCAACAAAGGCUACAGAAUACAAUGAUGAGAAAAAUUUACCUUAUUCCACCUUCCUGCUAGAAUCGAGUGAAGAGACAUCCUUUGAGUAAGUAACCACACAGAUACUGAGGCUGGCUUGCUAGAGCAGCAAUUCAUUCCCUCACCACAGUGAGGACGGCACUGUGCAGUCUCCUCCCGUUGUUUACUUUUCAAGAGUCAGACAGCAAUCUCAUCAUCAUUCCUUCAGGCAUAAGCAUUUCCUCCAAGUGCUCCUGGUGCCUUUCUACUCUUGGACCAACAACAAUCCCCAGCUCAACUUCUGUCACACUGAACCGAUACAGAGGAGUGAGAUGUGGAGGGUGUGGAGUUUGAUCCACUGGCUCAUCUCCACAGCUGUUUCUCUUCUGACUUGGAUUUUUACACACUUUAACAAAGGUCUAUUACAAACUCAGUGAAGUUCUAAUGCUUAAGCUGAUUAUCCUAUCAC
RNAcentral lists this long non-coding RNA (910 nucleotides) under Heterocephalus glaber (naked mole-rat). RNAcentral describes it as "lncRNA (ENSHGLG00000033514.1)". The record is from RNAcentral. Lineage: Eukaryota; Metazoa; Chordata; Mammalia; Rodentia; Bathyergidae.